This 277-nucleotide long non-coding RNA is filed under the name Lathyrus oleraceus (garden pea). Its description in RNAcentral is "Pisum sativum (pea) long non-coding RNA (PSAT_LNC020017)". Lineage: Eukaryota; Viridiplantae; Streptophyta; Magnoliopsida; Fabales; Fabaceae. The record is from RNAcentral.
GGAAUCUGAUGUAGAAAUGAAGUGCACAUGGAGAUGAUGAGAAAUAUUUUGAAAAAAGAAGAAUAAGAUUUUAAUAAUAUGCAACAUCUGGUCACCAUGUCGGGUGGUCUUUACUAUAAAAGAAUUAAUGAAACUUAUGCUGGCCUUCAGUGGAAGGGACAACAUUGCACCUUCUUCAUGUUUUAAUAGUUUCAUAAUUCGACAAAAUAUUUAUUAUCUCUUUAAAACAAUUAUGAAAUCACUGGUUAAAAUAAAGAAAUUAGAGAGAUUAAGAAAA